Molecule: ribosomal RNA, 354 nt
Filed under: uncultured Geobacillus sp.
Lineage: Bacteria; Bacillati; Bacillota; Bacilli; Caryophanales; Anoxybacillaceae
Description: bacterial SSU rRNA
Rfam family: Bacterial small subunit ribosomal RNA
Source: RNAcentral
GAGGGUGACAGGUGGUGCAUGGUUGUCGUCAGCUCGUGUCGUGAGAUGUUGGGUUAAGUCCCGCAACGAGCGCAACCCUCGCCUCUAGUUGCCAGCAUUCGGUUGGGCACUCUAGAGGGACUGCCGGCGACAAGUCGGAGGAAGGUGGGGAUGACGUCAAAUCAUCAUGCCCCUUAUGACCUGGGCUACACACGUGCUACAAUGGGCGGUACAAAGGGCUGCGAACCCGCGAGGGGGAGCGAAUCCCAAAAAGCCGCUCUCAGUUCGGAUUGCAGGCUGCAACUCGCCUGCAUGAAGCCGGAAUCGCUAGUAAUCGCGGAUCAGCAUGCCGCGGUGAAUACGUUCCCGGGCCUU